CCGGAGCUUGCUCCACCGGAAAAAGAGGAGUGGCGAACGGGUGAGUAACACGUGGGUAACCUGCCCAUCAGAAGGGGAUAACACUUGGAAACAGGUGCUAAUACCGUAUAACAAUCGAAACCGCAUGGUUUCGAUUUGAAAGGCGCUUUCGGGUGUCGCUGAUGGAUGGACCCGCGGUGCAUUAGCUAGUUGGUGAGGUAACGGCUCACCAAGGCGACGAUGCAUAGCCGACCUGAGAGGGUGAUCGGCCACAUUGGGACUGAGACACGGCCCAAACUCCUACGGGAGGCAGCAGUAGGGAAUCUUCGGCAAUGGACGAAAGUCUGACCGAGCAACGCCGCGUGAGUGAAGAAGGUUUUCGGAUCGUAAAACUCUGUUGUUAGAGAAGAACAAGGAUGAGAGUAACUGUUCAUCCCUUGACGGUAUCUAACCAGAAAGCCACGGCUAACUACGUGCCAGCAGCCGCGGUAAUACGUAGGUGGCAAGCGUUGUCCGGAUUUAUUGGGCGUAAAGCGAGCGCAGGCGGUUUCUUAAGUCUGAUGUGAAAGCCCCCGGCUCAACCGGGGAGGGUCAUUGGAAACUGGGAGACUUGAGUGCAGAAGAGGAGAGUGGAAUUCCAUGUGUAGCGGUGAAAUGCGUAGAUAUAUGGAGGAACACCAGUGGCGAAGG
This 669-nucleotide ribosomal RNA is filed under the name Enterococcus hirae. RNAcentral describes it as "bacterial SSU rRNA". It matches the Rfam family "Bacterial small subunit ribosomal RNA", at positions 73 to 721 of the family's 1533-position model. Lineage: Bacteria; Bacillati; Bacillota; Bacilli; Lactobacillales; Enterococcaceae. The record is from RNAcentral.